RNAcentral lists this ribosomal RNA (253 nucleotides) under uncultured bacterium. RNAcentral's name for it is "partial 16S ribosomal RNA". It matches the Rfam family "Bacterial small subunit ribosomal RNA", at positions 524 to 776 of the family's 1533-position model. The record is from RNAcentral.
UACGAAGGGGGCUAGCGUUGUUCGGAUUUACUGGGCGUAAAGCGCACGUAGGCGGAUCGUUAAGUCAGGGGUGAAAUCCUGGAGCUCAACUCCAGAACUGCCUUUGAUACUGGCGAUCUUGAGUCCGGAAGAGGUGAGUGGAACUCCUAGUGUAGAGGUGGAAUUCGUAGAUAUUAGGAAGAACACCAGUGGCGAAGGCGGCUCACUGGUCCGGUACUGACGCUGAGGUGCGAAAGCGUGGGGAGCAAGCAGG